This 274-nucleotide ribosomal RNA is filed under the name uncultured bacterium. RNAcentral's name for it is "partial 16S ribosomal RNA". It matches the Rfam family "Bacterial small subunit ribosomal RNA", at positions 79 to 354 of the family's 1533-position model. The record is from RNAcentral.
UUUAUGCCGGCGACCGGCGCACGGGUGAGUAACACGUAUGCAACCUGCCCCUGUCAGGGGGACAACCCGCCGAAAGGCGGGCUAAACCCGCGUACAUGCCACCGGGGCAUCCCGGAGGCAGGAAAAGGCUUCGGCCGGACAGGGAUGGGCAUGCGGCGCAUUAGGCAGUAGGCGGGGUAACGGCCCACCUAACCGACGAUGCGUAGGGGUUCUGAGAGGAAGGUCCCCCACACUGGUACUGAGACACGGACCAGACUCCUACGGGAGGCAGCAG